This 478-nucleotide ribosomal RNA is filed under the name uncultured bacterium. Its description in RNAcentral is "partial 16S ribosomal RNA". It matches the Rfam family "Bacterial small subunit ribosomal RNA", at positions 28 to 507 of the family's 1533-position model. The record is from RNAcentral.
GACGAACGCUGGUGGCGUGCUUAACACAUGCAAGUCGAACGGGAUGUAGUAAACAGCAGCCUCGGUGGAAGAUUACUAAUGAGAGUGGCGAACGGGUGAGUAACGCGUGAGCAACCUGCCUAUGACGGUGGGAUAGCCUCGGGAAACCGGGAUUAAUACCGCAUAAAAUCGUAGAAACACAUGUUUUAACGGUCAAAGAUUUAUCGGUAAUAGAUGGGCUCGCGUCUGAUUAGCUAGUUGGUGAGAUAACAGCCCACCAAGGCGACGAUCAGUAGCCGGUCUGAGAGGAUGAACGGCCACAGUAGAACUGAGGCACGGUCCAAACUCCUACGGGAGGCAGCAGUAGGGAAUAUUGCACAAUGGGGGAAACCCUGAUGCAGCGACGCCGCGUGAACGAAGAAGGUAUUCGUAUCGUAAAGUUCUGUCCUAUGGGAAGAUAAUGACAGUACCAUAGAAGAAAGCUCCGGCUAAAUACGUG